Molecule: non-coding RNA, 155 nt
Filed under: uncultured Blautia sp.
Lineage: Bacteria; Bacillati; Bacillota; Clostridia; Lachnospirales; Lachnospiraceae
Source: RNAcentral
CAGGUGCUGAUAAAAAAGUUAAAAGGGAAACAGGUUAGAAUCCUGUACGAUCUCGUCACUGUAUUUGAGGAGUAGUAAUCUAUAAUAUAAGUCACUGGAAAACCGGGAAGGCAGAUUACUAUGAUGAUUCAUAAGCCAGGAAACCUGCCUGUUGU